CAAUGGCUAGAGGAGCUCCCUUCAGUCCAAGCACAGAAAAAGUGGGAUGUAGAACUAUCUCCUGCAUCAUUCACUCAGUCACAGUAGCAAAAAACUUUGUAUUCUACUGAGUGAUUAAAUGAAUGAGUCAGCAGCUAAUUCAACCCCUAAUCUCGUCCAUGAGUGGACUGAAGUAAGCUCUCGUAGACCAUUUC
RNAcentral lists this microRNA precursor (194 nucleotides) under Olea europaea subsp. europaea. RNAcentral's name for it is "MIR159 microRNA precursor family". It matches the Rfam family "MIR159 microRNA precursor family". Lineage: Eukaryota; Viridiplantae; Streptophyta; Magnoliopsida; Lamiales; Oleaceae. The record is from Rfam by way of RNAcentral.